RNAcentral lists this ribosomal RNA (1351 nucleotides) under uncultured bacterium. Its description in RNAcentral is "bacterial SSU rRNA". It matches the Rfam family "Bacterial small subunit ribosomal RNA", at positions 28 to 1381 of the family's 1533-position model. The record is from RNAcentral.
AUUGAACGCUGGCGGCAUGCCUUACACAUGCAAGUCGAACGGCAGCACGGAGCUUGCUCUGGUGGCGAGUGGCGAACGGGUGAGUAAUAUAUCGGAACGUACCCUAGAGUGGGGGAUAACGUAGCGAAAGUUACGCUAUACCGCAUACGAUCUAAGGAUGAAAGUGGGGGAUCGCAAGACCUCAUGCUCGUGGAGCGGCCGAUAUCUGAUUAGCUAGUUGGUAGGGUAAAAGCCUACCAAGGCAUCGAUCAGUAGCUGGUCUGAGAGGACGACCAGCCACACUGGAACUGAGACACGGUCCAGACUCCUACGGGAGGCAGCAGUGGGGAAUUUUGGACAAUGGGCGAAAGCCUGAUCCAGCAAUGCCGCGUGAGUGAAGAAGGCCUUCGGGUUGUAAAGCUCUUUUGUCAGGGAAGAAACGGUGGGAGCUAAUAUCUCUUGCUAAUGACGGUACCUGAAGAAUAAGCACCGGCUAACUACGUGCCAGCAGCCGCGGUAAUACGUAGGGUGCAAGCGUUAAUCGGAAUUACUGGGCGUAAAGCGUGCGCAGGCGGUUUUGUAAGUCUGAUGUGAAAUCCCCGGGCUCAACCUGGGAAUUGCAUUGGAGACUGCAAGGCUAGAAUCUGGCAGAGGGGGGUAGAAUUCCACGUGUAGCAGUGAAAUGCGUAGAUAUGUGGAGGAACACCGAUGGCGAAGGCAGCCCCCUGGGUCAAGAUUGACGCUCAUGCACGAAAGCGUGGGGAGCAAACAGGAUUAGAUACCCUGGUAGUCCACGCCCUAAACGAUGUCUACUAGUUGUCGGGUCUUAAUUGACUUGGUAACGCAGCUAACGCGUGAAGUAGACCGCCUGGGGAGUACGGUCGCAAGAUUAAAACUCAAAGGAAUUGACGGGGACCCGCACAAGCGGUGGAUGAUGUGGAUUAAUUCGAUGCAACGCGAAAAACCUUACCUACCCUUGACAUGGCUGGAAUCCUUGAGAGAUCAGGGAGUGCUCGAAAGAGAACCAGUACACAGGUGCUGCAUGGCUGUCGUCAGCUCGUGUCGUGAGAUGUUGGGUUAAGUCCCGCAACGAGCGCAACCCUUGUCAUUAGUUGCUACGAAAGGGCACUCUAAUGAGACUGCCGGUGACAAACCGGAGGAAGGUGGGGAUGACGUCAAGUCCUCAUGGCCCUUAUGGGUAGGGCUUCACACGUCAUACAAUGGUACAUACAGAGCGCCGCCAACCCGCGAGGGGGAGCUAAUCGCAGAAAGUGUAUCGUAGUCCGGAUUGUAGUCUGCAACUCGACUGCAUGAAGUUGGAAUCGCUAGUAAUCGCGGAUCAGCAUGUCGCGGUGAAUACGUUCCCGGGUCU